RNAcentral lists this ribosomal RNA (466 nucleotides) under Vreelandella stevensii. Its description in RNAcentral is "partial 16S ribosomal RNA". It matches the Rfam family "Bacterial small subunit ribosomal RNA", at positions 338 to 795 of the family's 1533-position model. Lineage: Bacteria; Pseudomonadati; Pseudomonadota; Gammaproteobacteria; Oceanospirillales; Halomonadaceae. The record is from RNAcentral.
CCUACGGGUGGGCUGCAGUGGGGAAUAUUGGACAAUGGGCGAAAGCCUGAUCCAGCCAUGCCGCGUGUGUGAAGAAGGCCUUCGGGUUGUAAAGCACUUUCAGUGGGGAAGAAAGCCUUGGGGCUAAUACCCUCGAGGAAGGACAUCACCCACAGAAGAAGCACCGGCUAACUCCGUGCCAGCAGCCGCGGUAAUACGGAGGGUGCGAGCGUUAAUCGGAAUUACUGGGCGUAAAGCGCGCGUAGGCGGUCUGAUAAGCCGGUUGUGAAAGCCCCGGGCUCAACCUGGGAACGGCAUCCGGAACUGUCAGGCUAGAGUGCAGGAGAGGAAGGUAGAAUUCCCGGUGUAGCGGUGAAAUGCGUAGAGAUCGGGAGGAAUACCAGUGGCGAAGGCGGCCUUCUGGACUGACACUGACGCUGAGGUGCGAAAGCGUGGGUAGCAAACAGGAUUAGAUACCCUAGUAGUC